UACGUAGGGUGCGAGCGUUGUCCGGAAUUAUUGGGCGUAAAGAGCUCGUAGGCGGUGUGUCACGUCGGCCGUGAAAACCUGCAGCUUAACUGUGGGCGUGCGGUCGAUACGGGCAUCACUGGAGUUCGGCAGGGGAGACUGGGAUUCCUGGUGUAGCGGUGAAAUGCGCAGAUAUCAGGAGGAACACCGGUGGCGAAGGCGGGUCUCUGGGCCGAUACUGACGCUGAGGAGCGAAAGCGUGGGGAGCAAACAGG
Molecule: ribosomal RNA, 254 nt
Filed under: uncultured bacterium
Lineage: Bacteria
Description: partial 16S ribosomal RNA
Rfam family: Bacterial small subunit ribosomal RNA
Source: RNAcentral